Non-coding RNA from Canis lupus familiaris (dog), 106 nucleotides. NCBI's taxonomy places the organism in Eukaryota, Metazoa, Chordata, Mammalia, Carnivora, Canidae. The record is from Rfam.
UGGAGGAACAACCCCAGUGGCAGCGGCCAGCUCUGCAGCCCUGGAGUCAGCUCCCGCAGGAACUCCGGAGCUUUCCUUCUGCAGGGCCUGGAUGCUCCGGGGCGGG